Long non-coding RNA from Felis catus (domestic cat), 761 nucleotides. RefSeq lists it as uncharacterized. The record is from RefSeq and is a predicted model, not a curated record. The transcript has 2 exons. NCBI's taxonomy places the organism in Eukaryota, Metazoa, Chordata, Mammalia, Carnivora, Felidae.
AGUAUCCAGAAUGCCCUUUAUGCCAGCAGGAAACCUGGAGGAGACUUUCUUUUCUUCCUUUUUUUUUUUUUUUAGUAGGCUUGGCAGAAACAUUUUUUUUUUUCAAGAGAGAGAGAAAAAAAAAUCAAAUUUAAGGACUGUGGAAAAAUAACUUUCUGUGCUCUUAGGUACCAGAAUCGACCAUUUGUCAGAACCAAAUGUCUGCUAAAGUGUGAAAAAUUGUUGGAAGGCAUUUUCUAAAUUUUGUUAUUGUGGUUCUAUCAAUUCAUUUCCAUGAGCCCUCUCAUUUGUGUCUGUUGGCUGUCCAGGCCAGGCUGGCCAGCUGAGAAGUGGAUCUACUGUCUUUUAUUCUCAAGGUCCUGACAUUUAUCUGAUGGUUGGAAAGGUGGCUAUGCUGUAGUGGAGAGAGCUCAGAGUAUGAAAGUUUUAAGACCUGGUUUUGGAUCUCACCAUCAUCACUUCCAGGCUUCAAGAUCUCAGGAGAAGUUCUUAAAUUCCUGGGACUUACCUUGUCCCUGAACUUGUUACUUAUUUCUGAUGAAUGGGUUAUGACCAAAGAUGGCUCCAUAUUGUGCUACAAAUUUACCCAACCACUGAUAAAAAUAUGACCUUUUUAUGACCAUUCCAAGGAACACGGCAGUCUGUACCUUGCUGGAAGCCUCGCGUAUUUAACCUCCCUCGUCCAUGUCGUCCCAAUGAGCAUUUUCUACCUGCUGGGUCCCUCAUUAACGCGCAAUAAACAUCGACACAAGUUCGGAUGA